AGUUGCUCGAACCGCCGAGUGGAGGUAGGCAGUGUCUCGACCCAGACCUGGUCAUUGCGAAGUGCAGCGAGCGCGAAAGCCGGACACUAUGUCGCGUUACGGGCGGUACGGAGGAGAGACCAAAGUCUAUGUUGGCAACCUGGGAACUGGUGCCGGCAAAGGAGAGUUGGAAAGAGCGUUUAGUUACUAUGGUCCCUUAAGAACUGUAUGGAUUGCCAGAAAUCCUCCAGGAUUUGCUUUUGUGGAAUUUGAAGAUCCAAGAGAUGCAGAAGAUGCAGUUCGAGGACUUGAUGGAAAGGUGAUUUGUGGCUCUCGUGUGAGAGUCGAACUGUCAACAGGAAUGCCCCGAAGAUCUAGAUAUGAUAGACCACCUGCACGUCGCCCAUUUGAUCCUAAUGAUAGAUGUUAUGAGUGUGGGGAGAAAGGUCAUUAUGCUUAUGAUUGCCAUCGCUACAGCAGACGAAGGAGAAGCAGGUAUUUAUUUGGAAAAAAUGGAGCGGUUGGUAUAUGACGGUUAAUCAUGUAAUUCUUUUGUUAGCAAAGAAGAAAAUACUAUUUUUUUUCUAUAAACUUUUUAUGUGUUAAUUGUCAGGUGUAUUUUACAGUUUGUGUUUAAUUUUAAAAAUGUUAAUAUAUUAAUAAUCAACCUGGUCAAAACCUUUCAGGUUUCUUCGUUUGAGUCAGUCGCCUUGAUUCAGAAUGUCACGAGCCUUAAGAUAUCAUGCUGAGGCGCCUUGCAAAUCCGACAAUUAAGAUCCUCCUAGACCUUGAGGUGAUCAGCAUAAGAGGCCAGAUCCCCUCGAGCCUUCUACACCUAGCUUCACUUUAUUCUUUAAAGGGCAGAAAAUUUGAGACGGUGAUCGCCGUAACAGUAAAUUUGGCUUUCAAUUGGGGCCCCCCUCCGGUUUAGAAAGAGGAACACCAGAUUGACCACAUUCCCACCUAGAAAAAUCUUCUUGCGUCAAUCAAGCCUCACCUGGCUCAUUUGGCUGUCAGUUUGAUCGUCGUUAGAUUGAAGAAAACUUCUAGAUGCAGCGAUCGGCUAUAGAUACUUCUAGAUCGUCUAGAUCUGCUAGACCUUGGGCCAAAGAGGGUCGACCUGCAAACUUGCAAGGUCACGAUCUCGAUCUCACUCACGGUCCAGAGGAAGGCGAUAUUCUCGCUCACGGAGCAGGAGCCGUGGUAGGAGGUCAAGAUCUGCAUCUCCUCGAAGGUCAAGAUCUGCAUCUCUUCGUAGAUCUAGGUCUGCUUCGAUCCGAUCUCGAUCUGGUUCUUUAAAAAGAUCGAGGUAUUUCCAAUCAUCCCGCUCAAGAUCCAGAUCCAGGUCUCUUUCAAGACCAAGAAGCAGCCGAUCAAAGUCCAGAUCACCAUCUCCAAAGAGAAGUCGCUCACCUUCUGGAAGUCCUCGUAGGAGUGCAAGUCCUGAAAGAAUGGACUGAAAUGAAAAAAAUUAACCUUUUAGGAAGAAAGUUAUUUUGUUUACAUUAUUAUAAGGGAUUUUGUGAUGUCUGUUCAAUGUAAGUGUAACCUAGAAGGCUAUUUGAACCAUCUAAUAAUCAGAAUGGAUCUGGAUAUUUUAAGAGCUCUGUAAAUUUACAUCAGUAGAGUAGUGUAAAUUUUUUUUUGUUGUAUGUAUUAACAUCUUAUGAUCUGAAAAUGGGAUUUUUUUUAUUGGCACAUUUAAGAAUAAAAAUGUGUUUCUAACUAGACUUCUGAUUUGUGGUCACUACUGUUAAAAUUGGCUUGGGAAGUCUCAAGCCUAGAGAGCUUGUUAGGCCUGUUCAGGGUCAGUAUCUGGAUGUGGCUAGAAGGUGAUAAAAAGUAGUCAAGUUGAAUGCACUCAUGAAAUCUUUCAUACAUUUGGAUAGUUUAACUGUCAUUUGGGGCAUUGAAAAAAAGCCUACUUUUUCAUAGUGGAUAAAUUUGAAAGUAGUUAUGUUUUAGAGAGUUUAAAUAACCUCAAUUUUUCUUCAUGACUGCCUGUCAUCUGUGGCAGACUCAAAUGCCCUAUGAGAUUCUCACCAAGGGACCAUAAUUCAUUCAAUUAAAUUGGCAUAACAAUUGGACAGAGCUUAAAGUAAAUUUUGGGAAGCGCUGAAGGGUCCAGGACAAGUAAUAUAAGAGCACAAAUUUUACUUUUGGACAACUGUGUUGUGUCGUAGUUUAAAUAAAUGCAAUAAGAGCAUUAUAGGCAAGUUAUCAUCAGAUAGGUACUAAUGAGUGUUGAAAAAGUCAGCAUUUUGGGAAUAUAUUGCUCACUACUGUGCAAUUGUUUUUAGUAAUAUAUACAUUUUAGUAUUAAGUUAAAUUGUUUGAAGAUGCCAAAAAUGAGUGCAUGUUGGUUUUUUUUAUUUUUUAUUUUUUUUUUUAAGAAUUGCUUGGAUUGAGGACAAAGACAAAUGUAAACCAGCUUUGCAAAAUUGUCGUUUUCCCAGCCUAAGCACCUUUUCCAUCUUCCAUGUCCUUAAUAAAUUCUGCCCCAACUUCACCCUACCUGACCCUCCCCACAGAUAGGGCAGAUUUUGCCAGGCUGGUGCAAAGUAUUUAAAAUAUAAAACAAAUUAAAAUGUGGUUUGUACGCAAGCAGUACAUUUACAUUGUUAGCUUUUGGUUUGCCUCAUAUCACUUGAUGUGCUUAAAUUUUUAAUGAAGACUAAUAACGUUCCCCAAACCUUAAAAUAGUAGUAUUAGAAUAUUAUUUCACCAAAAGGCACGAAUGAUCGAUUCACAGAUAUUUGUUUGCCAGUCAUCCUAGCUUUGGUACAAAAAGCUUAACUUUCAAGGGCCAUGUUUUUCCAGUGCACCUGGUACUGACUUCCUGCCAUAAGUUUAAAAUAUAUCAGGUAGUAAUAGUAAUUGGCCACAAAUGAGUUUAUUUGGUAAUUUUUGAAUGCUUUGACAUACCUAAGAGCCAUUUUUUUUAUAUGCUAAGGUUAUUUGAAGAAACCUUUUUGUUAAGGGAUUUGAAUAUUGAAUGAGCAGUAUGAUUUGGUAUAGAAACCACCUACAGUGUACAGGUUUAUCUGUUGCAUUUUAUCAGCUUUAACUGUUCUGUACUAUAUUAAGGCAAAUUUACUCUACAAUAAAUCUGCAGAGAUUAAAAAAA
Molecule: RNA transcript, 3106 nt
Organism: Trichosurus vulpecula (common brushtail)
Lineage: Eukaryota; Metazoa; Chordata; Mammalia; Diprotodontia; Phalangeridae
Gene: SRSF7
Gene name: serine and arginine rich splicing factor 7
Exons: 8
Source: RefSeq, a predicted model, not a curated record